CCUCAGUCCCCCCUCAAGGCAAACAACCAAACCCCCAUGUAACGGACUAAGAGCUAUUUAAAGGGGGUACAGCCCCUUUAAAACAGGACACAGCCUCCACCAGCGGAUAAGCCCAACAACUCCCCCUAACCCGUGGGCCUUAAAGCAGCCAUCUCCAAAGAGUGCGUCAAAGCUCCAACCAAAAAAAUCCAAAAACAACGUGACUCCCUAUACCCAUAGCAGGCCAACCUAUAACAAUAGAUGAAUUCAUGCUAGAACGAGUAACCAGGACACCGUCCCCUUAAGCGCAAGCCUACACACCAUUAACAGCACACCUACAAUACAACCCCCCCUCGACCAAACAUUAAACACACCCUGUUAACCCAACCCAGGAGCGCACACUAGGACGAUUAAAAUCUGCAAAAGGAACUCAGCAAACCCGAGGCCCGACUGUUUACCAAAAACAUAGCCCUCAGCCAAACAAGUAUUGGGGGUGAUGCCUGCCCAGUGACAGCACGUUUAACGGCCGCGGUAUCCUAACCGUGCAAAGGUAGCGCAAUCAAUUGUCCCAUAAAUCGAGACCUGUAUGAAUGGCCAAACGAGGUCUCAACUGUCUCCUGCAGACAAUCAGUGAAACUGAUCUCCCCGUGCAAAAGCGAGAAUAAACACAUAAGACAAGAAGACCCUGUGGAACUUAAAAAUCAAUAGCCACCACAUCCAACCUCAAACCCACCGGGCCCACACCACCCCAAACACUGGCUAACAUUUUUAGGUUGGGGCGACCUUGGAGCAAAACAAACCCUCCAAAAAUAGGGACAUAUCCCCUAACCAAGAGCAACCCCUCAACGUACUAAUAGUACCCAGACCCAAUAAAAUUGACCACUGGACCAAGCUACCCCAGGGAUAACAGCGCAAUCUCCCCCAAGAGCCCAUAUCGACGAGGAGGUUUACGACCUCGAUGUUGGAUCAGGACAUCCUAGUGGUGCAGCCGCUACUAAGGGUUCGUUUGUUCAACGAUUAACAGUCC
This 1006-nucleotide ribosomal RNA is filed under the name Bolborhynchus lineola (barred parakeet). RNAcentral describes it as "partial 16S ribosomal RNA". It matches the Rfam family "Bacterial large subunit ribosomal RNA", at positions 931 to 2596 of the family's 2925-position model. The record is from RNAcentral. Lineage: Eukaryota; Metazoa; Chordata; Aves; Psittaciformes; Psittacidae.